GAGAUACGGUCUGACCUGUAGUAACCUCUAGAGUUUGGUGGUGAUGAGAUACGGUCUGACCUGUAGUAACCUCUAGAGUUUGGUGGUGAUGAGAUACGGUCUGACCUGUAGUAACCUCUAGAGUUUGGUGUUGAUGAGAUACGGUCUGACCUGUAGUAACCUCUACAGUUUGGUGUUGAUGAGAUACGGUCUGACCUGUAGUAACCUCUACAGUUUGGUGUUGAUGAGAUACGGUCUGACCUGUAGUAAUCUCUAGAGUUUGGUGUUAAUGAGAUACGGUCUGACCUGUAGUAACCUCUAGAGUUUGGUGUUGAUGAGAUACGGUCUGACCCGUAGUAACCUCUAGAGUUUGGUGUUGAUGAGAUACGGUCUGACCUGUAGUAACCUCUAGACUUUGGUGUUAACGGGUUACCCACCUGCAUCCCAAAUGGCACCCUGUUCCCUUGAUGGUGCACUACUUGUGUGCACUACGUAGGGAAUAGGGUGCCAUCGUUGACACCACCAUGGUCUCUCUCCAUCUGUUCCUAGAAGACGGAUGCUUCAGAUAAGCCCUCAGGCAUUCGGCAGGUGAAAGGUUCCAAACUAAACCCAGCAGCACUUACUCAACUUGCUACAAUCGACUUGCUUCAACGAGGCAAUUUAAGGUGUUAAGUUAACUGUCUUUUUUUUAUACCAGACGCCAAGUACAGAGAGUCAAACGUACUUUGACAUUGACGCACAAGUUCAAAGUCCACAACUAGUGAAACUUCUGAAAAGAGAGAGGAGAUUGAAAACUAUUGAGGUGAUUGAAAACUAUUGAGGAGAUUGAAAACUAUUGAGGUGAUUGAAAACUAUUGAGGUGAUUGAAAACUAUUGAGGAGAUUGAAAACUAUUGAGGAGAUUGAAAACUAUUGAGGAGAUUGAAAACUAUUGAGGAGAUUGAAAACUAUUGAGGAGAUUGAAAACUAUUGAGGAGAUUGAAAACUAUUGAGGAGAUUGAAAACUAUUGAAUCUCCUAAAAAGAGAGAGGAGAUUGAAAACUAUUGAAUCUCCUAAAAAGAGAGUGGAGAUUGAAAACUAUUGAAUCUCCUAAAAAGAGAUAGGAGAUUGAAAACUUUUGAAUCUCCUGAAUAGGCAGAGAGGAGAUUGAAAGUAUUGAAAUCUCUCUGGAACUAAUUUCCAAACAGUGUUUGGGAUUCCAGACUAGAGGAGCUCCUCAAACGGCAUCAUAUUCCCUACGUAGUGCACUACUUUAGACCAGGGUUUAUAGGGUAGUAGUGCACUACUUUAGACCAGGGUCUAUAGGGAAGUAGUGCACUACUUUAGACCAGGGUUUAUAGGGUAGUAGUGCACUACUUUAGACCAGGGUCUAUAGGGUAGUAGUGCACUACUUUAGACCAGGGUCUAUAGGGUAGUAGUGCACUACUUUAGACCAGGGUCUAUAGGGUAGUAGUGCACUACUUUAGACCAGGGUCUAUAGGGUAGUAGUGCACUACUUUAGACCAGGGUGCAUACAGCUCAGCUCAAAAGCAGGGCACUACAUAGGGAAUAGGGUACCGUUAGGAACGAAGUCUAGGAAUGUUCAUGUUGUUUAUUGCCUUUUAUAGUCUAGAAAGUGAGGACUGAGGUUUUGCACUAGAUUCUCUCUGCAGGGUUUUUAAUGCAGAGGGGUAAGUAACUAUGCCACUAAUAUCAAGGGAUGCUUCCUGCCCAUCUGCCUAUAAACAGCACUGCCAAUCAUUAUGAAAUGAUGAGUCCACAGAGUUAAUUCACUGUGUCCCAGACAGUACUUCCAGAAUGGGAUCCACUUCCUCGUCUAAUUCACUGUGUCCCAGACAGUACUUCCAGAAUGGGAUCCACUUCCUCGUCUAAUUCACUGUGUCCCAGACAGUACUUCCAGAAUGGGAUCCACUUCCUCGUCUAAUUCACUGGGUCCCAGACAGUACUUCCAGAAUGGGAUCCACUGGGUCCCUAGUCCCUCCUCCUCUACAGACAGUCACUGUGUGUCCCUAGUCCCUCCUCCUCUACAGACAGUCACUGUGUGUCCCUAGUCCCCUCCUCCUCUACAGACAGUCACUGUGUGUCCCUAGUCCCUCCUCCUCUACAGACAGUCACUGUGUGUCCCUAGUCCCUCCUCCUCUACAGUCACUGUGUGUCCCUAGUCCCUCCUCCUCUACAGUCACUGUGUGUCCCUAGUCCCUCCUCCUCUACAGUCACUGUGUGUCCCUAGUCCCUCCUCCUCUACAGUCACUGUGUGUCCCUAGUCCCCUCCUCCUCUACAGACAGUCACUGUGUGUCCCUAGUCCCUCCUCCUCUACAGACAGUCACUGUGUGUCCCUAGUCCCUCCUCCUCCUCUACAGUCACUGUGUGUCCCUAGUCCCUCCUCCUCUACAGACAGUCACUGUGUGUCCCUAGUCCCCUCCUCCUCUACAGACAGUCACUGUGUGUCCCUAGUCCCUCCUCUACAGACAGUCACUGUGUGUCCCUAGUCCCUCCUCCUCUACAGACAGUCACUGUGUGUCCCUAGUCCCUCCUCCUCUACAGUCACUGUGUGUCCCUAGUCCCUCCUCCUCUACAGACAGUCACUGUGUGUCCCUUGUCCCUCCUCUACAGUCACUGUGUGUCCCUAGUCCCUCCUCCUCUACAGACAGUCACUGUGUGUCCCUAGUCCCCUCCUCCUCUACAGACAGUCACUGUGUGUCCCUAGUCCCCUCCUCCUCUACAGACAGUCACUGUGUGUCCCUAGUCCCUCCUCCUCCUCUACAGUCACUGUGUGUCCCUAGUCCCUCCUCCUCUACAGACAGUCACUGUGUGUCCCUAGUCCCUCCUCCUCUACAGACAGUCACUGUGUGUCCCUAGUCCCUCCUCCUCUACAGACAGUCACUGUGUGUCCCUAGUCCCUCCUCCUCUACAGUCACUGUGUGUCCCUAGUCCCUCCUCCUCUACAGACAGUCACUGUGUGUCCCUUGUCCCUCCUCUACAGUCACUGUGUGUCCCUAGUCCCUCCUCCUCUACAGACAGUCACUGUGUGUCCCUAGUCCCCUCCUCCUCUACAGACAGUCACUGUGUGUCCCUAGUCCCCUCCUCCUCUACAGACAGUCACUGUGUGUCCCUAGUCCCCUCCUCCUCUCCAGACAGUCACUGUGUGUCCCUAGUCCCCUCCUCCUCUACAGACAGUCACUGUGUGUCCCUAGUCCCUCCUCCUCCUCUACAGACAGUCACUGUGUGUCCCUAGUCCCCUCCUCCUCUACAGACAGUCACUGUAUGUCCCUAGUCCCCUCCUCCUCUACAGACAGUCACUGUGUGUCCCUAGUCCCCUCCUCCUCUACAGACAGUCACUGUAUGUCCCUAGUCCCUCCUCCUCUACAGACAGUCACUGUGUGUCCCUAGUCCCUCCUCCUCUACAGACAGUCACUGUGUGUCCCUAGUCCCUCCUCCUCUACAGACAGUCACUGUAUGUCCCUAGUCCCUCCUCCUCUCCAGACAGUCACUGUGUGUCCCUAGUCCCUCCUCCUCUACAGACAGUCACUGUAUGUCCCUAGUCCCUCCUCCUCUCCAGACAGUCACUGUGUGUCCCUAGUCCCUCCUCCUCCUCUCCAGACAGUCACUGUGUGUCCCUAGUCCCUCCUCCUCUCCAGACAGUCACUGUGUGUCCCUAGUCCCUCCUCCUCUACAGACAGUCACUGUGUGUCCCUAGUCCCUCCUCCUCUACAGACAGUCACUGUAUGUCCCUAGUCCCCUCCUCCUCUACAGACAGUCACUGUGUGUCCCUAGUCCCUCCUCCUCUACAGUCACUGUGUGUCCCUAGUCCCUCCUCCUCUACAGUCACUGUGUGUCCCUAGUCCCUCCUCCUCUACAGUCACUGUGUGUCCCUAGUCCCCUCCUCCUCUACAGACAGUCACUGUGUGUCCCUAGUCCCUCCUCCUCUACAGUCACUGUGUGUCCCUAGUCCCUCCUCCUCUCCAGUCACUGUGUGUCCCUAGUCCCCUCCUCCUCUACAGACAGUCACUGUGUGUCCCUAGUCCCUCCUCCUCUACAGUCACUGUGUGUCCCUAGUCCCUCCUCCUCUACAGACAGUCACUGUGUGUCCCUAGUCCCCUCCUCCUCUACAGACAGUCACUGUGUCCCUAGUCCCUCCUCCUCUACAGUCACUGUGUCCCUAGUCCCUCCUUCUCUACAGUCACUGUGUCCCUAGUCCCUCCUCCUCUACAGUCACUGUGUGUCCCUAGUCCCUCCUCCUCUACAGUCACUGUGUGUCCCUAGUCCCUCCUCCUCUCCAGACAGUCACUGUGUGUCCCUAGUCCCUCCUCCUCUACAGACAGUCACUGUGUGUCCCUAGUCCCUCCUCCUCUCCAGUCACUGUGUGUCCCUAGUCCCCUCCUCCUCUACAGACAGUCACUGUGUGUCCCUAGUCCCUCCUCCUCUCAAGUCACUGUGUGUCCCUAGUCCCCUCCUCCUCUACAGACAGUCACUGUGUGUCCCUAGUCCCUCCUCCUCUACAGACAGUCACUGUGUGUCCCUAGUCCCUCCUCCUCUACAGACAGUCACUGUGUGUCCCUAGUCCCUCCUCCUCUCCAGACAGUCGCUGUGUGUCCCUAGUCCCCUCCUCCUCUACAGACAGUCACUGUGUGUCCCUAGUCCCUCCUCCUCUACAGUCACUGUGUAUCCCUAGUCCCUCCUCCUCUCCAGUCACUGUGUGUCCCUAGUCCCUCCUCCUCUCCAGUCACUGUGUGUCCCUAGUCCCUCCUCCUCUACAGUCACUGUGUGUCCCUAGUCCCUCCUCCUCUACAGUCACUGUGUGUACCUAGUCCCUCCUCAUCUACAGUCACUGUGUGUCCCUAGUCCCUCCUCCUCUACAGUCACUGUGUGUCCCUAGUCCCUCCUCCUCUACAGUCACUGUGUGUCCCUAGUCCCUCCUCCUCUACAGUCACUGUGUGUCCCUAGUCCCCUCCUCCUCUCCAGUCACUGUGUGUCCCUAGUCCCCUCCUCCUCUACAGACAGUCACUGUGUGUCCCUAGUCCCUCCUCCUCUCCAGUCACUGUGUGUCCCUAGUCCCCUCCUCCUCUACAGACAGUCACUGUGUGUCCCUAGUCCCUCCUCCUCUACAGACAGUCACUGUGUGUCCCUAGUCCCUCCUCCUCUACAGACAGUCACUGUGUGUCCCUAGUCCCUCCUCCUCUACAGUCACUGUGUGUCCCUAGUCCCUCCUCCUCUCCAGACAGUUACUGUGUGUCCCUAGUCCCUCCUCCUCUCCAGACAGUCACUGUGUGUCCCUAGUCCCCUCCUCCUCUACAGACAGUCACUGUGUGUCCCUAGUCCCUCCUCCUCUACAGUCACUGUGUGUCCCUAGUCCCUCCUCCUCUACAGUCACUGUGUGUCCCUAGUCCCUCCUCCUCUACAGUCACUGUGUGUCCCUAGUCCCUCCUCCUCUACAGUCACUGUGUGUCCCUAGUCCCUCCUCCUCUACAGUCACUGUGUGUCCCUAGUCCCUCCUCCUCUACAGUCACUGUGUGUCCCUAGUCCCCUCCUCCUCUACAGACAGUCACUGUGUGUCCCUAGUCCCUCCUCCUCUACAGUCACUGUGUGUCCCUAGUCCCUCCUCCUCUACAGUCACUGUGUGUCCCUAGUCCCUCCUCCUCUCCAGUCACUGUGUGUCCCUAGUCCCCUCCUCCUCUACAGACAGUCACUGUGUGUCCCUAGUCCCUCCUCCUCUACAGUCACUGUGUGUCCCUAGUCCCUCCUCCUCUACAGUCACUGUGUGUCCCUAGUCCCUCCUCCUCUACAGUCACUGUGUGUCCCUAGUCCCCUCCUCCUCUACAGACAGUCACUGUGUGUCCCUAGUCCCUCCUCCUCUACAGUCACUGUGUGUCCCUAGUCCCUCCUCCUCUACAGUCACUGUGUGUCCCUAGUCCCUCCUCCUCUACAGUCACUGUGUGUCCCUAGUCCCCUCCUCCUCUACAGACAGUCACUGUGUGUCCCUAGUCCCUCCUCCUCUACAGUCACUGUGUGUCCCUAGUCCCUCCUCCUCUCCAGUCACUGUGUGUCCCUAGUCCCCUCCUCCUCUACAGACAGUCACUGUGUGUCCCUAGUCCCUCCUCCUCUACAGUCACUGUGUGUCCCUAGUCCCUCCUCCUCUACAGACAGUCACUGUGUGUCCCUAGUCCCCUCCUCCUCUACAGACAGUCACUGUGUCCCUAGUCCCUCCUCCUCUACAGUCACUGUGUCCCUAGUCCCUCCUUCUCUACAGUCACUGUGUCCCUAGUCCCUCCUCCUCUACAGUCACUGUGUCCCUAGUCCCUCCUCCUCUCCAGUCACUGUGUGUCCCUAGUCCCUCCUCCUCUCCAGUCACUGUGUGUCCCUAGUCCCUCCUCCUCUCCAGUCACUGUGUGUCCCUAGUCCCUCCUCCUCUCCAGUCACUGUGUGUCCCUAGUCCCUCCUCCUCUCCAGUCACUGUGUGUCCCUAGUCCCUCCUCCUCUCCAGUCACUGUGUGUCCCUAGUCUCUCAUUCCUCUGCAUACUGUGUAGUUCACCAGGACUUCUCCUGAAAGGUCUGGGUCUGCUGCUUCACACACACUGGGUGUGUUCCAGGUGGUCUGUUUUGCAGUCAUGCUGCACACACCCUCAAUGCUAACACUGUAAACAUGUCUGUGUGUUUUCUACAGUUUCCUUCCUCAAUGCUAACACUGUAAACAUGUCUGUGUGUUUUCUACAGUUUCCUUCCUCAAUGCUAACAUUGUAAACAUGUCUGUGUGUUUUCUACAGUUUCCUUCCUCAAUGCUAACACUGUAAACAUGUCAGUGUGUUUUCUACAGUUUCCUUCCUCAAUGCUAACACUGUAAACAUAUCUGUGUGUUUUCUACAGUUUCCUUCCUAAUACUG
Molecule: long non-coding RNA, 6859 nt
Organism: Oncorhynchus masou masou (cherry salmon)
Lineage: Eukaryota; Metazoa; Chordata; Actinopteri; Salmoniformes; Salmonidae
Exons: 2
Source: RefSeq, a predicted model, not a curated record